Molecule: long non-coding RNA, 8565 nt
Organism: Mirounga angustirostris (Northern elephant seal)
Lineage: Eukaryota; Metazoa; Chordata; Mammalia; Carnivora; Phocidae
Exons: 4
Source: RefSeq, a predicted model, not a curated record
GCCGAGGGGCUCGUCCUGACCGCCCUCGGGACGCCGAGCACGGCUUUGGCUGCGAUGCUGCUCUAGUCCCGGACCCCGAGAUGGGGAAGGAAGCCCCGGGCAGCGCGCAGCGGCGGGCCGAGCGGGGCGGGGCGGCGAGGGAGGAGCCCCUCGGGGGUGGUUUGCGGGGAUGAAUACUCAGCCGCGGGCACAGUCGUUGGGAGGUUUCAGUAGGUUCACCAAACACUGUGCGGGCACCUGCCCCGUUGGAACUGUUGAUGCGAAGAUGCGGAAGACGCGCGCCCUGACUCCGGGAGCACCUGCUCUGGCCGGGGCCGUAGAGACGCUGCGUGGGGCUGGAGCGGGAGGCGGGGGGGGCACGGGGCUAGAUGCGGAUCCCGGAUCGCGCGCGGGGCUGGGGACCUUGCACUUGCCUGGUAGGUGUGAGGCUCCUCUGAGCAAACUUCGCUAACUGCAGAGAAGUUGCACGUGCCCCAUCCACACAAACUGUGCCUAGGCCUGCCUCGCCCACCCACCCAAGAACUAAAACCUGAACCCCCCCCCCGCCCACCUCCCUAUCUCAGUAUUUAGGGUAACUCAAGCGCGCACCUCCCCCAGGAACCACAAAAAGGAAAACCAACAUUUCCAGGGUAAUAGCACAUGUUGGAGAGGAUGUGGAGAAACUGGAACACUCAUGUCUUGCUGGUGGGAAUGUAAAAUGGAGCAGCUGUCUUGAAAAACAGUUUGAAAGUUCCUGAGAAAGUUAAAUAUAGAAUUACCAUAGGACUCAGGGAUCCCACUCCUGGGUAUGUGCCCAAAGAGAACUGAAAACAAAACUUGUAUGUUAAUAGAAGCAUUAUUUAUAAUACUGAAACAGUGGAAACAACCCAAAUGUCUAUCAACUGAGGAAUGGAUAAAAGAAACACAGUAGACCCACAAAAUGGAAUAUUACUUGGCCAUCUAAAGGAGUGGGGCACUGGGACACUCCACAACAUGGAGAAAACUUGGAAACACGUCAAAUUUAAAGAACCAGAGACAAAGGCCACAUACAUGCCAUGUCCAGAAUAGGCAAAUCCAUAGACACAGUCCGGUUUGGGAGGGGGCGAUGGGGAGUGGCUGAUACGGGUACAGGGCUUCUUUUUGGAUUGAUGAAUUGUUCUGGAAUUAGUGGUGGCAGUUAAAUUCAUGAAUAUCCUAAAAAUGACUGAAUUGUACUUUAAAAGGUGAAUUUUACGAUAUGUGAAUUUUAUCUUUAAAAAAUGCAUAGGCACACUAGAGCAAGGGAAGAACACUAACCUGUUACGUGCAGUGAAUCCUAGGUAAAGGGAUUACAGGUAAGCCUUUCCUCCUCUUUGUACCUUUCCCCUGAGUUAAAAAAAAAAAUAAGAUCCAUUUAUUUAUUUGAGAGAGAGAGAGAACAUGAGCUGGAGGGGCAGAGGGAGAGGGAGAGAGACUCUGGAGCCGACUCCGCACUGAGCGCGGAGCCCAACGCGGGGCUGGAUCCCAGGACCCUGAGAUCGUGACCUCAGCCGAAACCAAGAGUUUGAGGCUUAACCACCUGAGCCGCCCAGGCGCCCUCAGUUUUUCUGCAAUGAGCAUAUAUUAUUUUAUCAGGAAAAAGAAUAAAACAGCAAAUGUGUACAACUCAGAGCUAGUGCUGAGGGACUGGGGAUGGAGAAGGGGAGAAAUAUUAUCCGCGGCAGAAGGGCAGGAGGAAUUGAGCGCCGCCCGGGGAUUACCAACUCCAACUCCUUUCCGGGCUUCUGGGGUGGAAUUAAAUGCUCCAGGUGCCAGGUUCACUUUCCGUGAGGGGUUUAAGCCCCGGGCGGCUUCUCACAAUCACACGGCGGCGCCAACAAGGCCUGUGGCUCGGGGACCGCCGGGUCGCUCCUGUCCCUCCGCCUCUUGCCGGGCCUGUUUUUCUGCUGGUGAAACGUGACGCUGCGCGCGCAGAACUAGCUUGUGGUCACACCUACAACGUGGGAUUUUUUUUUUCUAGAUUUUAUUUAUUUAUUUGACAGAAAGAGAGAAAGCGCACAAUCAGGGUGAGUGGGAGAGGGAGAAGCAGACUCCUCGCCGAGCAGGGAGCCCGAUGCGGGGCUCGAUCCCAGGACCCUGAGAUCACGACCUGAGCCGAAGGCAGACGCUUAACGACUGAGCCACCCAGGCGCCCCCAACGUGGGAUUUUUAAGAGCCUGUGUCAGGAGCACUGGUCACGGAACAGACCACUUUUCUUUCCGUGUAGAGAAGAAGGGGUCCUGCUCUCAGACUGUUUCUGAGACCGAUUCUACUUCCCGAUCCUCCGCCCAGGCCGCCGCUGGCUUUUCCGCUUCGUUGACGGAGUUCACGGGCAGUACUUGCGGACACGUCAGUAGAAUCGCCGUGGGACCGUCUGCACCGACGCGAGUGGAGGCGGAGGAGCGCGCUCGAAGGAACCGCCAGGACCCCGGCCUCGCCUUUCUCCACGCACCUGCCGCCCCGGAACCCGAGAAAGAGGCUUCGAGAGGGCGGGACUCCGCGCCCUCCGAACUAGAGCCCAGCCGAGCACGCGAGGGCUGCCCGGGGUUCCCGCAGCCCCGCGCGGGCCUCUCUGAGCCGCAGCCUCAGCCCCGCCCCGCGCCCCCUGCUGGGCCUCGGGCGCAUUGCACGUCGCCGCCGCAGUCAAGGCUCCAGACUUCGCGCACGUUGCAUCUGGUUACCUGAGGUGCUUGGAAGCCAGACUCGGGAAUGCUAUGCAGAUGCAGGAGGGAAUGAGCAAGCUGUACAUCAUGUGCUCACGGGACAGAGGCUCACCACAUAUUAUUAGGUGAGAAGAGCAAAGUAGGGAACAGCUUGUAUGAUAUGAUCUCUGUUGGAUUAAAAAAAAACAUGGAGCGCCUGGGUGGCUCAGUCAGUUAAGCAUAAGAUUCUUGAUUUCAGCUCAGGUCAUGAUCUUAGGGUGCCCUAAGAUGCCCUAAGGACCCCUGCCCCCAACCAUGCCCUCAGAAUAGAGAUGGUUGAUGAACCUGCACAUUGGCCCGCUUGAGAUGAGGACAAGGUGACCCCCCCCCCAUUCCAUUCCUUUGAGACUUUGCAGAGCCAGGAGGAAGCUGCCCACAUAGCCAGCCAAUGCCUCCCUCUGGACAUGUUCAGCUCCAGUUUUGAGGUCCUGGACAGUCCUGAAGUGGGCACCGUGACGCCCACUUCUCAGGAGCCCCAAGUAAAGGGGCUGAAGUGAAGGCCAGGAGACGGAGCUCUGUCCAGGACCUCCAGGCAGGGCAGGGCCCCCCAGAUGAGGUACAGUCUCCUGCCGAGGCUCCACAGGGCAUCUGAGGCAGGGGGUGAGUCCUGAUGCUCCGCACAGAGAUGGAAAUAGAGGGAGUGAGAGGGAGUGGUCCUGAGUGGAAAACGUGCCUUCCCUAAAGGCUGACUUUACCCGCUUCACCCCCACAUCCUCCUGCAGUGACGCUGGGAUCCAGCCCCACAGGGCACCUCAGCCUGGGCCAGAAAGAAGCAUGGCCUGGGGCUUCCAGGGAGGAGGAGAAGGUGAGGGACCUCUGCCUCGGGGAGGCAGGGAGGUGGCUGAGUCAGCUGUGUGUGAACUUCAUGAGAAGGAGAGGAGGUCCUGCCAGUCACCCUCAGCCUCUCCCUGCAACCCCCUAAAGUGCCAUCUUGCCAACGCUCCCCAUCCCUCACGCAAAAUCCCGAUAGUAAACUGGGACCGGCUUGCCAUCGGCAGGGAUCAAGAAGGUGGGUCAGCUGAUGCUGCCUGGAGGCCGAGUCUGGGUGCUAGAGGAAGAGAAGUCAGGACUCCAUGCUUGGACCGGAUCAUCCCCGUACCCCCCCCCCGCCCCCCAUCUCAGUUGGUAGAGGCAGUGGCAAAGACCUCCACUCAGGAGGGCAAGCCCAGCACCUGCCCUCCUGCUGAACUGAGUCUGGUGGCAGGGGUGGGGGGGAACGAAAGCGCCCUUGAGCAAAGUGAGUGCCGUCUGGCUGUCCAACACACAUUUUUUCCUGGUCCUGGUCUGGUCCUUCCCCACUCCGUCCUCUCAGGGUCCUUUCUGCCUCCAUCAAAGAGCUCCAGGCCUUCCUCCCUGCCACACUCAGCCUUUUAUCAGUUCACAUACCUGUGGCUUCCAAACCCUCAUUCAGAAGUGAUCUGGGGAGAAAGGAGGGUGGGAGUGAGCCCGGGGUGGUGGCAGAGCCUCUGUGUCCCCCUCUCUGUGGGAGGCUGUUUGUCUGAGUUGGGUGGAGGCCAAUGAGAUGCACAGGAUCAGGGUGUCCUGGCCCUGAGACAGGGGCUGUUUGUCUUCUCUGCUCUGGGAGGAGGAGGGACGGCCCAGGAACAGUGAUGGAGGAGAGGGAAGACACUCCAUCAAACCCCAGAGGAGUGCAUGCAGGUGGGGUGGGCUCCCUGUUGUGAGAUGUGGCCCUGGCGAAAAGCCCUGCAGCUCCCUGACUUGGAGAAUCCGGGAGAGACAACGAAGAGGGAUGAGCGGGAACCCCAGCAAGUCCCAGGCUUGACUCCACAGCUGCCUUCCGUGCUGGUUUGUCCCUCUCCCAGCCGGCGCCUCCUCUUUGUCAGGUGCCCGAAGAAGCUAGGUGUCCUGAGGUCCCCUCCAGUUCCAAAAGCACAUGAUCUUAGUAAUGCGAAGCUACUGAUGUAGGGCUGCCGGGCGGAGAGAAAUGAAGGCUGCGAGGCGAUUGGAAGCUGGAACCGUUUCUAAAUGGUUAUUCCUGGAGGGAGUCCUCCUUCUGCACUGACAGCAAACAAAAAAGAAACAGGCUUAUCCUGGGUGUUGAAAUGUUCUGUAUAAGGAGUACCUGGGUGGCUCAGCCAGUUAAGCAUCUGACUGUUGGUUUCAGUUCAGGUCCUGAUCUCAUGGGUUGUGGGAUCAAGCCCCAUGUGGGGCUCUGUGCUCAGUAGGGGUCUGCUUGAAUAUUCUCUCCCUCUGAGCCUUCCCCCACUCCUGCUCUCUCUCUCUCUCAAAUAAAUAAAAAUUCUUUUUUUUAAAGAUUUUAUUUAUUUAUUUGACAGAGAAAGACACAGCGAGAGAGGGAACACAAAUGGGGAGUGGGAGAGGGAGAAGCAGACUCCCUGCCGAGCAGGGAGCCCGAUGCGGGACUUGAUCACGGGACUCCAGGAUCAUGACCUGAGCCGAAGGCAGUCGUUUAACCAACUGAGCCACCCAGGCGCCCCAAUAAAAAUUCUUUUAAAAAAGAAUAUUUAUUUAUCUGACAGAGAGAGAGAGAGAGAGAGAGAAAGCACAAGCAGGGGGGAGGGCCAGAGGGAGAAGCAGACUCCCCGCUGCGCAGGGAGCCCAAUGCGGGUGGAUCCCAGGACCCUGGGAUCAUGAACUGAGCCGAAGGCAGACGCUUCACCGACUGAGCCACCAAGGUGCCCCAAUAAAAAAAUCUUUAGAAAUGUUCCGUAUGUUGAUCUGGAGGUUAGUUCCACGGCGUGUACCAUGUAAACGUUACUGAGCUGUCUGCAUAAGAUCUGUGCCCCUCGCACGUACAUGUACACUGUACCUCGACAGAAAGUUUUGAACAGUGAGCGUGGACUCCAGCAAGAGCUUAGACUCCAGGGGAGACUGUGGAGAUGUGUGUUCCCACCCAGGGAGGUUAAGGACCUCCCUUUUCUUGAGAAUUUACACUAAGAGCUGGUGGGACAAAUGAGCUGACCUCUUUUGGAGAGCUUUCCAAAAUCCUUCUCAGGAAUUCCCAUUUUCCUCCCAGGCACAGAGACCCCUCCUUGUUGCCAAGCUGCCUGCUGUCUCUCCCACUGCAAUUCCAAGCACACACUCUGCCCUCCGUGGAGCCAGGCCAUCCCUGGCCUCACACCACAUCUCUCCCGAGGCUUGAAGCUUGAGGAUGGAAGGGGCCCCAUUUCAACCUUCUCACCAACCAGGGCCCCCCCUUUCCCUGGGGAUGUCCAUCCUGUUCAGAGCCUGCCCCCACCUAGGCCCUUUUUCCGGUGGUGUGUGCCAGCCGGUCCUGCAUCCCACAUCCCCAGCUGUUGACAUUUCGUUGCCUUUGCCCACAGGAUAAAGAAAGGGCCCCUGUUAUUCAACAAUAGGGGGAAAGACAGAGACAAUGAGAAAUUGUGCUUCCAAUGGGGUGGGGCCAGAAAAGGAAAGUACAGACAGACGGACAGACAGGGGGCUGGACAGAAGGGGUCCGGUUUCUUGAAGCUGCUGGAGGUCCUGGAAGUCUGGUUCCCACCUUGAGAGCCUCUUCCCACAGGCAAUGCACACCCAGUCUCCGGAGGAAAGAGGUGAGGACUCUGUGGGGCGAGGGGAGGGGGUGCUGCUUGGAUGAGGCCCAUGUGGAAACGCAGAGACCACAGGAGCCUGACCAUGGGUCUGUGAGCUCAUCCGCAGUCAUCCUCACGCACAGCGGCCCAACGUCUUCAUACCCACCAGUCCGUCUGCUCCUUCUCUGGGCCAAGAACAUCUAGAAGAAGCGAGGCACCCCACCUUCCACAUUCCUCCAGGUAAUCUUUCCCCGGUGCCUCCUUCACUCCAUCCCCUCGGGGGUCCCCACCCCGGCCCCAAGCGCCACAUCUUCCCCAGGCCCAGGACAGUGAGCAGUGCAGACUAGUGCUGGGUCAGAGGCUGGACACCAGUCACUUAGCCUGGCUUGGUGGACUGACAGGUGGAAAAGUUUUCUCAGCGCCUUGGCUGCUUCUGUGAGCUCAGGGCAGAAGCCUCUCCUCAAAGGUGCAAAAGGAGAGACCCCACUGAUCAGGUGCCCAAGUCCCAGGGCUCUAAGGUGCUUGGACCUGCCUGGGGCCCAGGCACCUCCUUCACUGGAACCUCUUCCUGGAGCAGGGCAAAAGGCAGCCAGUCCCUGUCGCUCCCAUCUCUGUGAAGAGACCGGCUUCUAACAGGUAGGCACUGGGGGCUGUUGGCUUUCUCAUUCUCUGCAAGGGCUACAAAGAGGGUAUGUGUGUGUCUGCUUUGAAAUGCAGAAAUACAGCCCAGCGGUUAAGAAGGAGCUUGAGCCUUCAGUCAAAUCCGGGUUCAAAUCCCAGCAAACCUUCCUCUUACUAGCUGUGUGACCUUACUCAAGUCUCCUAUAAUUUGUACAACUUUAAGCGGGAGUAAAAGGGACGCGUAAUCAUUCCCACCUCACGUCCUUGCUGAGAGGAGUAAAUACCAGAUACACGUGGGAAGUGCUGGGGCGGUCUCACGCAGGUCUCAUGCAGGUCUCCUGGUGGGUGUCCCCCCCACCCCCCGCUGCCACUCUUCUCACCAGGCCGGCGGGCACAGGUGCACAGGGCAUGUCCCCACCCAGGUACCUUCCCUCUAGCGGCUGGGAAGCCCUCGGAGCCCAGCCCCCAUUUCUCCUGGGGCAAGCGGGGCGUGGCCUUCAGUUGCAGGAAGAGGGGCUCAGCCCCUUGGCUUCCGACUCUCCCCACGUCCCAGCUCACCUUCCCAGAAUCCUUAGUGUGGGCUCAUUCAUUAACAUGCACACACAUUUAUUUAGCACCUACUGUGUGCCAGAAACUAUGCUGGGUGCUGCAGAUAAUAGCUAACACAUACAUGGCACUUACUACAUACCAUACACGAUUUUAAGCAUUUUACGUGUGUUCCUUCGGUGAGAUAGGUGGGAAUUAUUAUCCACAUGUUUACUGAUGAGGACACUGAGGAAGAGAGAAGUAAAUAACUCGUUCAAAGCCAUGCAAUUAGCACUUGGAAGAAUCAGGGUUAGAAAACGAGUAAAGCUAGGUUAAGGUGUCCUCAGCCCUAUUUUUAAAAAAUGGUCAAGUUGAUAAAGAACAGAUAACAAUAAAGAAGGGAAAAAUCGGGGGGCGCCUGGUUGAAUCAGUCUGCAGAGCCUGUGACUCUUGAUUUCAGGGUCGUGAGUUCGAGCCCCACAUUGGGCAUGGAGUCUACUUAAUAAAAUAAAGAAAAGAUGGGCGCCUGGGUGGCUCAGUUGGUUAAGCGACUGCCUUCGGCUCAGGUCAUGAUCCUGGAGUCCCGGGAUCGAAUCCCACAUCGGGCUCCCUGCUCGGCGGGGAGUCUGCUUCUCCCUCUGACCCUCCUCCCUCUCAUGCUCUCUGUCUCUCAUUCUCUCUCUCGCAAAUAAAUAAAAUCUUUAAAAUAAAAGAAAAGAAAGAAAAGAAAAAGAAGGGGAAAAUACACUACUGGAAUAGAAAACUGUGUUUGGAAUUAGUUCCAUAACUGAAAUCACGGGAUACCUCCCUGAUGCAGUCAACAGGGCAUAGGUAUUACUUUCAAAUCCGCACUGCUAGUUCAGCUGCUAACAAAAGCACUUCCGAGAACGAGUGCCCAGGCCGGUGCAGCCCGGGACCCAGAAGAGCAGGUCACGGCGCACUCCAGUGUGGCCAGCCAGGGAAGAGGAGGGGUUUCCCAGAGGAGGUGAGGCCGACAGUGAUGCCUGGGAGAAGGAGGUGAGAGUGAAUUCGGACUCUUCUGGAGCCAGAAGUCCAAGGUGUCUGGAACACCGUGCUGAGGGCGCAGCUGGUGGGAGGCAAUGUGGAAGGCGCAGGGAGAGGCGGGAUCCCAGAGGGCCCUGCAAGCCGCGGUUAGGAGACCAGACUUUAUCCUCCGGGCAAAGGGAGCCAGUGCUUUAAGCAGG